This 407-nucleotide ribosomal RNA is filed under the name uncultured prokaryote. RNAcentral's name for it is "bacterial SSU rRNA". It matches the Rfam family "Bacterial small subunit ribosomal RNA", at positions 355 to 774 of the family's 1533-position model. The record is from RNAcentral.
UGGGGAAUAUUGCACAAUGGGCGAAAGCCUGAUGCAGCGACGCCGCGUGAGGGAUGACGGCCUUCGGGUUGUAAACCUCUUUCAGCAGGGACGAAGCGUGAGUGACGGUACCUGCAGAAGAAGCACCGGCCAACUACGUGCCAGCAGCCGCGGUAAUACGUAGGGUGCAAGCGUUGUCCGGAAUUACUGGGCGUAAAGGGCGCGUAGGCGGUUUGUCGCGUCGUCGGUGAAAACCAGCAGCUCAACUGUUGGCUUGCGGGCGAUACGGGCAGACUUGAGUAUUUCAGGGGAGACUGGAAUUCCUGGUGUAGCGGUGAAAUGCGCAGAUAUCAGGAGGAACACCGGUGGCGAAGGCGGGUCUCUGGGAAAUAACUGACGCUGAGGAGCGAAAGCGUGGGUAGCGAACA